CACCAAUAAAGCGUCCGAUAGGAUAAGUCCCAUAAAAUAUAUAGAUGUAUGUGACACUUCUUCAGAUGUCACUUGAUUUCUAGGGAGUCCUCCUGGGCCAAAUCUCAGGUGUCAUAAUCUCAGGGCUGCUGAUUCGAAAGAGAGAAAAAAGCUGGGAUAUACAAGAAGCAUUUGGUGGCAUCGUGAAACUGUUCUAGGAAAAAAAUUUCCACAGUGCACGUUUGAUUUGGAAACAGAAAAUAGAAGCAAUUAUGGAUAAAUACCAUCUUCCUCAAACUCCUUCAGCCCACUCUGGAUGUGUACCCCAUAAACAAUGCUGAUUGCUCUCACUGAACCUGGAGAUCACCAAUUCAGCUGGACCAGAUGACAAGCAUGUCCCAAAGUACCUCCUGUCUUCACGUUCCCCAUGGCAUCAUCAGAUGGGUGCCACCAAGCCCAGUCUUUAGAUGGGUGCUGAAGAUGAUCUGAACUCAGGUAUUCACGCCUGCACCAAGCACUGUACCAACAGUGCCAUCCUCACAGCUUCUUAGUGGAACGUUUUCUUGAAAAAUUAAAACUAAAUUCCUUUACUUCAGAAGAAAAGUGAUUCAGACUAAAAGCACUAGCAUUUGUCACGUAGAAAAUGUUUCCAGCAUCCCAGUUACUGUUUUCAAGUGUGUAGUGUACAAAAAUGUGGAGUCACUUCAAACGAAUCGUUUACUUAAUUACAAUCAAUUACAAAUAUCUGCUGAAACAGGGCCACCAACUUCAAGGAAGACCAGGCACUAAGUUGGCACUAAGCAGUAACAUCUUUUUUUUUUAAAUUAUUUCCUGUUCCCUCUCCAUCCCACCCUCCCAUAUCCUUCACAGAACUCCCAUCCACUCCCCAGGGAGGCUUGAAUCAAAAGCCCAGUAUGUGCGAGCUGAAAUCCCAGCAUUUCACCACCCCACAAGGGAGUGAAGAACAGAGUGUGCACCACAGCAAAAGCAGACAGGCUCUUGCCUAUGGUCAACAAUUUUCAAGCAACCGAGAACAAAUAGGUCCUGUCUGUGAGAUGUAGAUUUUCUCAUUAGCGAACCAUAUUGCCCCUCAUUCUCUACACAGAUUGGAGUGCAACAUUGCCAGAAUACAAUAUAGAGCAAGAUUAAAUUUGCUAGCCGAGGAGGCAAUAAGUAAGAGAAACUUCAGCUAAAGACAAAGGGAAACGAGGACCAGUGCAGGAUGCAGAAACUCUGCUUGGGGGCUAGGGCAGGCACAGCAGAUUCUCCUUUGUGUCCUAGAUGAGGAGUACAGCAAAAGCUAACCAAAUUGAGAGCCCCAGUGAUGGUGAUCCCUGACCCCUCAUAUGAGUAGAGGUCAAAUACUGUUCUGCAGUGAGAACUUUAGCAGUUGUCUGUCUGCAAUUGAUCUUUAUUUGGAAACAAAACCAUCUUAUUUUACUAUUGUAAGAGUUAGAAUCAAUGCCUAUCAUUGCACCUGAUAUGAAAGCAUGUGUUCCCAUUGAAUAGUGGUUUCUGUUUUUUACAAAUGGGAAAUCUGAAAGACAGGGGGCAAACAUGAUCACCAAGACAUACUAGCAUUUGAUGCAUAUUGGAAAGACAGGGAAUGAAUAAGUCCAUCUGAAAUAUGGUUUGUCAAUCAAGAUGGGUAAGCCCAUCUCAUCUAUGUGUAUCAUGAAUGUAGUUGCUUAUUUAUGUUGCAAAAGUUAGAUGAUUCCUGAAAUUAAAAAAAAUUACAAGUAAGCUGUGAGCCAUUUUUUUAUUUGCUACCCCAUAGUCUGGGAAGUCAGACUGUUACCCCAACUCAGUAG
This is a non-coding RNA of Cricetulus griseus (Chinese hamster), 1790 nucleotides long. The record is from RefSeq and is a predicted model, not a curated record. NCBI's taxonomy places the organism in Eukaryota, Metazoa, Chordata, Mammalia, Rodentia, Cricetidae.